Drosophila obscura is the source of this 138-nucleotide small nuclear RNA. RefSeq annotates it as U4 spliceosomal RNA. The record is from RefSeq and is a predicted model, not a curated record. Lineage: Eukaryota; Metazoa; Arthropoda; Insecta; Diptera; Drosophilidae. The transcript has a single exon.
AUCUUUGCGCAGGGGCAUAAUCACAACCAAUGCAGUUUUACUCAGGUUGCGAUUAUUUCUAGUUGAAAACUUUAACCAAUUAACACCAUGAGGACAUGAAAUGUAGUAGUAAAUAUGAAACAUAUAAGAUUUAAAUAU